Molecule: non-coding RNA, 1698 nt
Organism: Doryrhamphus excisus (bluestripe pipefish)
Lineage: Eukaryota; Metazoa; Chordata; Actinopteri; Syngnathiformes; Syngnathidae
Source: RefSeq, a predicted model, not a curated record
UCCAGCAAACCACAGUGAGAGCCGUUAUCCGGAAAUGUUGAAAACAUGGAACCGUGGUGAACCUUCCCAGGAGUGUGCGUCCAAACAACAGCUACGGCUCAUUGAAGAGGUCACAAAAGACCCCACAACGACAUCCAAAGAACUCCAGGCUUCACUUGCUUCAGUUAAGACCCCGCUGAUCGCCGUGGGACUAGAAGGGGCGGCAGUGGCGGCGUUCCUGAUAUUCCAGGCGGAGUGACUUGAGUCCAAGUGUCAGGAGGUGGACGAGCUCCUUUUCCUUCUGGAACACGCUUUGGGGGCGUCAUUUAGACCGCCGCCAUCGCCAACGUCGCCGCCAUCGUCGCCUAGCACUAAUGACGGUAACAAAGCAGCUAAUUGGAGCAACAAAGUUGGACUCUGGAAACUUUUGGUAUGAUGUGAUGAUCCGUGCUACGCUGGUCUUGUUGGUAAAGAUGGAGGCCAUGGGUGGAGACACGUUGGACGACCAUCCAGACAGGAAGUUGAAAUAUUAUCACGGGACGCUACGUGAAAGCGGGCGGAAGGAUCUCUGCGCCACGAGGCCGGGUCACGACUCUGCAACACGAGGGCGCCACAGUGGUGCACGGCGACACGAACCACUUUGACUCUCCGCCGAGUGACAAAGCGCUAUUAAAGUAUCACCCCCCCAUGCCCCCCCGCCCGACCACCCGCCCCCCCUGGAUCUCAGAUCUUCUGGGGGCUAAGACCUUCUAGUGCUGACACACGAAGACACGCCCUGGACACUCGCUGAACUGGACCAAGUCUCAGGGAAGCAUCAGGAGGGUGCUUGUUCGCCAGAUGUGCUCCUCAAGUCAAGUGGUACAACAUCUUCAUGUUGUGAGGAAAAAAAGGCUGGCUUGCAAAACUACAUUAAAGGCCGUUGGCAUCGAACCUGAGGAACGUGAGUGCAGAAGCUGGUCAUUUUCUUGCAACAAAUCGGGAUUUAUGAUUUUGGUAUGUUUAUCAUGUUUAUGCAGUACUUUGGUACUUACAGUAUACCGUUGGGUUGGACCAUUUAGAGAGACAAUUUAGAUUCACAAUUUCAUACUUUCUAGAACUGGAAACAUUAUUAAAUUCAAAUAUUCAAACAUUUGGACACUCCCGAUUUCCUCUGUUUGGACCAGUCCGGAUACAAACAAUUGCAAUGCCAGUGCCGGAGAGAACGGUCAGCCCACCAACCAAGGUUUGGCAAAGUCAAAGCGGUCUCUAAUACGAAGAAUUUGUCCCCUCCCAAUGUACUUGGUUGCAAGGUUCCUCUGUUUGGACCAGUCCGGAUACAAACAAUUGCAAUGCCAGUGCCGGAGAGAACGGUCAGCCCCCCAACCAAGGUUUGGCAAAGUCAAAGCGGUCUCUAAUAUGAAGAACUUGUCCCCUCCCAAUGUACUUGGUUGCAAGGUUCCUCUGUUUGGACCAGUCCAGACACAAACAAUUGCAAUGCCAGUGCCGGAGACCAACGGUCAGCCCACCAACCAAGGUUUGGCAAAGUCAAAGCGGUCUUGGUUGCUAGGUUCCUCUGUUUGGAUCAGCCCAGAUUCAAGCAAUUGCAAUGCCGGCGCUGGAGAGAACGGUCAGUCCACCAACCAAGGUUUGGCAAAGUCAAAGCGGUCUCUAAUAUGAAGAAUUUGUUCCCUCCCAAAGUACUUGGUUGCUUGGUUCCUCUGUUUGGAUCAGUCCAGAUUC